UUAGAACCUUCUAGAGAUAAGUUUCUAGAACCUUCUAGAAGCAAGUCUCUGGAACCUUCUAGAAGCUUCCUAGUUGGUAGAAGUUACUUGAGAAGCUUCCUAAAUAGGAGUAUAUAUUGGAAUCGAGGCUGAAGAGUUCUUCAAUCUCGACAACACAUCUCUUGGAGCUCUAGUUCACCUCUCUAGUGUUGUUCUUGUAUUCAUCUGAUUAAUCUAGUUCUUGCCAGUUCUUCUUGAACUUCUUGUUAGAUCUCGAGUCUGUAUUUCUAUGUCUAUGAUAGUUUGUCGAGACUUCACUCACCUCACAUAUCAGAGUUAGUUUCUUCUUCGUUAGAGUGCGGAUUACCCCUCUGCUUGAAAGUGUACUAGCAUUUUAGAGGUUGCGGAUUACCCUCCUCUAAACUGAUAUUUCUUUUGUUACAAUAUUGGAGUCUUAUUCUUCUUGGAGAGAGUGGAUUAUCCCUUUUCUUGAUGCUCUUAAGGCAUUUUAGAGGUUGCGGAGUAUCCUCCUCUAAACCAAUAUUGUCUUCUUGUAGAGUCAUUUCUGUCCUUCUCUUAGAAUGGCUGGAGGCC
RNAcentral lists this long non-coding RNA (573 nucleotides) under Physcomitrium patens. RNAcentral's name for it is "long non-coding RNA (PPAT_LNC011549)". Lineage: Eukaryota; Viridiplantae; Streptophyta; Bryopsida; Funariales; Funariaceae. The record is from RNAcentral.